This 1382-nucleotide long non-coding RNA is filed under the name Homo sapiens (human). RNAcentral's name for it is "HSALNT0222397". Lineage: Eukaryota; Metazoa; Chordata; Mammalia; Primates; Hominidae. The record is from RNAcentral.
GUCAUUUGCCUUCUGCAUACAAGAAAACUGAGGACUAAGGAUAUUAUGAGAUCUGCCAAGGGUAGUUUUGAUAUAUACAGUUGUGAUAUUAUAAAUAAAUAAAUAUAUAUAUUUAUUUUUAUAUAUAUAGGUUUUCAUCCACGGUUCCUGGCUCAUAACUCCUGCAGCCCUUGGUGUAGUCUUUUGUUAUAAUGUUGGGGUGCUUUAGGCCUCAGGAGCAGGCCUCAGGAAACAGAAUCUCUCUCUCUAACCUUCUUCUGUCCUCCUUUUACCUGCCCAAGGGAGGCCUCUAAUAUGAUUGCCGGUUAAAAGACCCUCAUUCCAGAAAGGGUCCCUCCCCAUAUUCUGAAAGAAAAAAUGCUGCACAAGAAGCCAGGAAGAAUCUGGACAGACAGGCCUUGCUGGGUUUCCCACUCAUGAGAUCAUGUUCUUUUGUCCAAUCACAUUUCUACACAGGGUCAAUAGUGCCUAUGUAAUGAAGCCUCCAUAAAAACCCAAAAGGACAGCACUUAGAGAGCUUCCAGAUAGCCGAACAUAUGGGUGCUCCUGGAAGGUAGAGUGCCCAGGAAGGACAUGGAGACUCUCUACUCCUUCCCCCAUACCUUGCCCUACACAUCUCUUCAUUGGCACGGUGGCUCACGCCUGUAAUCGCAGCACUUUGGGAGACCAAAGCAGAUGAAUCACCUGAGGUCAAGAGUUCAAGACCAGCCUGGCCAACACGAAAGAAGCUCUCACAGUGGAAGACUAUAAUAUGACAUAAGAAGAAAUGUGGACUUGGAGAUACAGAAGACAGGGUCUCAUUCCUGUUGCUCAGGCUGGAGUACAGUGGCAUGAUCUUGGCUCACUGCAGCUUCGACCUCCCGGGCUCAGGUGAUUCUCCCACCUCAGCCUCCCAAGCAACUGGAACUACCCAGCUAGUCCUACCAUGACCGGUUAGUUUUUUGUAUUUUUAAUAGAGACAUGGUUUCACCACAUUGCCCAGGCUAGUCCUGAACUCCCGGACUCAAGCAGUCCACCCACCUAGGCCUCCUAAAGUGCUAGAAUUACAGGCGUGAGCCACUGUGCCCAGCCUGUUACAUCUACAUUAGAUAUAUACAUAUAUAAUUAUUUAUAUAUUUUAUAUAUGUAAUUAUUUCCUAAUGAAAUAACAGACAACAUGGUAAUCAAACAAGGAAAGAAAGAAGUAUAUGUGAAAGUAUAAAAACCCUCAGAAAACACAUCAGAUGAGUCAGUAAAACUAGUUGUGAAUAGUCACACAUGCCUGUAAUCCCAGCUACUUGGAAGGCUGAGGUAGGAGGAUUGCUUGAGCUCAGGAGUUUGAGACCAGCCUGGGCAACACGCAUGACACCAUCUCAAGAAAAAAAAAAUUGUUGUGGAAUACC